GUCUGCAUUCAACCCUAGUUCCCGCUGUCUAGAUGACUUGAUCUUGACCCCUCGGAGACGAACAUCAAUCCCAUCAUCUCGGCACUCCACGAUGCGGAUCUCGAUGAUCGGGAGGUGGACGGUCAUGUCCUCCAGGACACAGACAUCCCCGAUGAGGGUCUCGUCAAUGCUCACGUCACUCAGCUUCUUCAGGUUGUCCCCUUCACCC
This 208-nucleotide long non-coding RNA is filed under the name Homo sapiens (human). Its description in RNAcentral is "LNC_000091". Lineage: Eukaryota; Metazoa; Chordata; Mammalia; Primates; Hominidae. The record is from RNAcentral.